UAAUUGAAAAACAAAUAUUAAAAAGGGGCAAAACUGUAAUUAGCUAGGAAACCCAGAUGAAAGAAAAUUAAGUGGAAGGGGGAAUAACAUAACCCCAGAAAAGCAGGACACCUCAGCAGAUGAGACUGACCAAUAACACCCUGCCAUGUGGAUAGCCAUGCCAGCUGACCUGCACGUGUGGUCAACCGCGCAAGGAGGAGAGUGUGCAGAUCAGACUGCUAGGAUUCUAGAUGUCGAACAAACAACUAAGGGGUAAUUCGAAAAUGAGCAGUUGGGACUAAAAGGCUGGAAGAUAAAAUGUCCAAGAGAACUGAUGGUCUCAAUUUGCAGAGUAGAGAGAUCCAACAGCCCAGAUUUCGCUCGGAUAAAAAGUAUGAAAUUACUGCUAGUGAGGCUUGAUCCUACGAUCCUUCUGUUGCCAUGCACGCAAAGAUUUGACGGCUAUGAAAUUUAGGGGCUAGUAUGAAUAGAGU
This 473-nucleotide long non-coding RNA is filed under the name Carica papaya (papaya). Its description in RNAcentral is "long non-coding RNA (CPAP_LNC002654)". The record is from RNAcentral. Lineage: Eukaryota; Viridiplantae; Streptophyta; Magnoliopsida; Brassicales; Caricaceae.